UACGUAGGGUGCGAGCGUUAAUCGGAAUUACUGGGCGUAAAGUGUGCGCAGGUGGCCGCGCAAGUCGAGUGUGAAAUCCCCGGGCUCAACCUGGGAAUUGCGAUGGAGACUGCAAGGCUAGAAUCUGGCAGAGGGGGGUAGAAUUCCACGUGUAGCAGUGAAAUGCGUAGAGAUGUGGAGGAACACCGAUGGCGAAGGCAGCCCCCUGGGUCAAGAUUGACGCUCAUGCACGAAAGCGUGGGGAGCAAACAGG
Molecule: ribosomal RNA, 253 nt
Filed under: uncultured bacterium
Lineage: Bacteria
Description: partial 16S ribosomal RNA
Rfam family: Bacterial small subunit ribosomal RNA
Source: RNAcentral